UAAGCUACAUGCUGCACCUUGACAUCAGUCAGACCCUCCUUAGCAGGGAGAAGAAAAGCAACUCUUGCCCUAAGGGAAGCUGCUGCCAGCAAUUGAAGGCAGCUGCCUGGGUAGUGCAAGCAUCUUACCAAAAGGUUUACAAAAACAUUUUUUAUUCAAAAUUUUCAUGUCUUUCAGGAGUUGCAUGAUAGGUGUCUUCUCCCCAUCUUUCCAGGUGGCUGAAUUACUCUGGACGACCACAUCUUCCAUGAGGUGCUUUGCUUCUAUCUCUGGAGAAUGUGCAAUGCUACCAUGAAGUUGCUCAUAGGAGUCUGUACUGGAGGAUGAGGUCUCUCUGUGGACAGCAGGGAUAAGAAAUUGUGAGUGCAUGAGUUAAGCAGAGCCCCAGGGAACGGGAACCUUCAGAGCAGCGUGUGGCUGGCAGGGUACAAAGCUGGCAGCCAGGGUAGGACAUGCACGUACUCACCACACAAUUGGCAUCGCUCAGCUGCUUCGCCACAUUCCUUCCCCUCCCCUCAACCCAGACUGUCUCUCCCCAGCUCCCGUCACUGCAGACAGGUUGGGAGUAAUGCCACUGCAGCACCAUGACCUAGGGAAGGUCCUGCCUCCAAAAGUAAUUGCUGCUCCUUCUCUCUCCCCAGUACUGACUUCUUUUUUAACCUGGAUCCAUUCCCUGAUCAGGCUGUCCCCUGGACAGGGACAGGAUGAGCCAUGGCGGGCGGCUGGGAGCAGGGAAGGGGUGUGCUGCCCAUGGCUAUGGGAAGCCAGGCAGCACAGGACCACCUGGUAGGUUUGCUACCAAAAGCACUGCCAGACUUAAUCAGGGAGAGGCAAUAGCUCUCCUCCAGUUGGCCCCAUGAGUCAUUGCUCUCUUGCCUGCAUCCUGAGGCCAUCUCGGUUAAAGCCGCCCUGCUCUGUCCGGCACGGCUACAGCAGCAGGAGCCUGUCCAAGCUAUCCAUGUGGGAGGGAGGUGGUGUCUUUCACCCCUGGCAUGAGCCCCUAAAAUCUCCUGGGAAAAUCAGCACCAAAAAUACUGACUGAUGCUCCCCAAGCAGCAGAGGCUCCCAGAGCUGGCACGGCCACUGUUGUGUACCCUGCACGUCCAUGGGUGCAGAAAAGCCUGCAGCACCAGAGGGACAGGCCCUCGUCAAUACACCUCGACAACAUGCUGCCCCUGUGUUGAACCAGGGAGUGUGUGCUGGCUAAAACAUGUCAGCACAGAGACCUUCCAGGCUAGCCAGGAAAGCCCCAGGGAGAUGCUGAGAUCGCGGGAUCUGUGCUGGAAAAAUAAAUGAGUGUAUCUUCCUGUGAUGAUUCGGUCUCCAGUGCCCUCCUACACGGCACUUCUCCCCUGCAGCUUCUGCCCAGGAUUUUAAUGCUAAGAGAUAUCUUGCGUUAUUGUCUCAACUCUUUCCCGACAUUGCUGGAAAGAGCAGGGAUGCGAACGAAGCCUGCAUUCUCUCUGUGAAGUCGGCAGCUUCAGCCGUGAUGACUUGGCUGCUGGUGAAAACAAACCUCCCUGGCUGGGGCUGGAGGGGACAUGGCCUCUGCUGCUUCAGAGGUUAUUAACAGCAGUUUCCAGCAGCUGUGGGACAGGUCCUUGGUUCAGAGCAGCUUCCCAAGGAGUGAUACAUGAAGGGUCCUGUCUGCCCACAUGCCUGGACAGCACCAGGUAUGAUGGGACCUCCUCCUCGUUACAGGCCUGGCUGUAGAGCACCUAAUCCAAUAUUAUUAAUGACAAUCAGAAUAGACAUGAUGUAAUUUAAACCACUAGGCUUCUGUAAAAGGAUUACUCUUAGGUGUUGAGCUGCCCGAGGAUAGGGGAAAAAGCAUUAUUUUGUAUAUAGAGGAAAUCUCUUGACACUUCAAAAUGCUAUGGGAAAGAGGAAAUAACUAUAAGAAAACAGAGCUGACCAGGUCUUCCUCUGGUGAUCUGGUGGAUGAGCAGAAGCACAUCAGCUUAGAGUGACAGAGAUGUAGCUGCAGGUGGUCUGGCCCAAGGCCUUUCAACAGCUACUGGUGUGGCCUGCUGAAACGCUGCAAGGAGCUGGAAAUCUCUGGCUCAAGCAGGAACAUGCUCAAAAAGCAAGCCUUGGAAACCACAUUGUUCCUUCCCUCUCCCGUUACACCUGCCAUCCAGCCCUUGCUGGAAGGGGAGGCAUGCAGAGACUCUGCAGGGAAACCUUACGCUGUGUGAGGAUGCCUUAACUGGCAACCAAACUUUUCCUUGGAAUGCAGAGUCCAGUUUGAUGAAGAACAGGAUGAAAAGGGCAAGUGCAUGCCCACCACAGAGCUGAGAGCGUGGUGAUUACAGUUCUGGUUUAUAAAUGCAAGAGCUCAAAAGCCUGGUCUGAUGGAGCCAGGCUUGAGACUUCAACCCUUGCCACCCACUUCCCAAUGUAUGGAUUGCUUUAACCCUCUGGGGUCAGGUUGCUUUGGUGUGGGAAAGGUUUGUUUCUCUUUUCCUUUUAAACACUUUUGAGACAGUGGGUGACAGCAUUCCCUUCCUGUCUCUGCAGGACAUUUGCAUUCACUGGGAUCACAUGCUGCAGAAUACUAAAGCUUUCACUCAACAAGACGUGCUCUGCACAAAUCCUCAUCUUUGUAUCAGAGAGAGCCCAAGACUAUUCCAUGCAGAUACAGGGAGAGUCAAAGCUGAAAACCUGUAAAUCUAAGCUACAUCUAGAGCUGGUUAGAAUAGUAAAUAUGAGCCUGGAAAGCUGGAGAAGAUGCCAUACUCAGCUCUUCUGGCAAAGAGUUGUAGUAACCUCCUUCAGGGAAAAAGGGAUGGAGUCCUUUGGUCUUGGCCUCCAGAGAAGGUAUAUUCUGCCAUGCACUUGUCUGAGCCAAAGCUGAGAUGGGAGACUCACAGCAGCCUUACUGAUAACCAUCUGUGUCAAUGGAGAGCUCUCUUUGACUAGGGAAUACUGAACAAAGCCUGUGAGGUGGCUGCCCUGACCAGACGUUCAUCUGUCCUCUAAUGGAUAGAUGGCUCUCUAUUUCUUCUGGGCCAUUUUCUUUAGUUCUAGGUGGGCAUCUUGCAUUUCUCUGGCUGCCAGCCAAGUGAUAGUAUCUGUGGUAGGAAAAUGUGGGCAGGCAGGAAGAGAUUGGCUCUGCUGCGAGGUGAAAGCAUGUGCGCCUGAUCCGCUGCGUGGUUUUCCUGUGUGGCACUCAGUGAGGACCAUAAUGAAGGGAUGUUCCUCUGGAGUCAAGUGCUGAGUCUGCAUCAAUAGCACAACCUAGCCUAGACCUUCAUGCUGUCACACAAAGACCUGGUCUAAGCCUGAAUCCUUCCAGGAGAGAACAGGGCAUGGUCCAUCCCUUGUCAGAUGUCCACAGAGGUCAUAUCACAGUGGUGAGGUGCAUUACACUACCAGCAGUAAUCCUGAACAGGGCUGGCUUCAGUCUCAGCUCUGGACCCACACUGUUUCCAGCAUGGUGGGUGGGAAGCACAUGGGUUGCAACCCACUGCCUGCCUCAUUCACCAAGGACGUGAACUCUGGGGAGCCGAUGGUAGGCAUGGAAAACCUGAAACAUCUCUGCCUUGAAGCAGGCUGUGUCAUCCAGCCUUGACUUUUUUCCUUCCCCACACACUGGCCAUGGGUCUUGUGGGUGGCAAAGCUGCGCAGCCCUACAGCACCGGAAGCCCUUGCAGCUGAGAUGCCUUUCAGUUGCUUCCAGCGAGUAACCCACGGAACCCCUCCAGGCUCAUGUCCCUUGCAACAGGGACCCAUCCCAAAUGGUUGUGCCAGUCCGAUGUGCCAGGUCUCUAUGGGUCUGUCCCUUGCGAUGGCUUCGCUGAUAUCUAACAGUGGUUCAGCUCACACUCCAUCUUCUCUGGUGGGGAGGGAGGGCUUCAUAGGAGCUCUUCUCCAGAGCUGUUUCACCAGAAAACUCACUGGAACUUACUAUCUUGAGAAGAUCUCACCCUCUAUUAGAUCUGUUUGAAAGAGCUCACUGGGUUAAAAUGGUGAAAGAGGGGGAAUGAUGAACAGAUGCAGCUCUUGCUUAAUUUUUAAUCGCCUUAAGAAACCAUACUAAAACCAUGUUAAAAAAAAAAAAGAGUUGUUUCCAGGAAAAGUUUUCCAAAGUCUCAAGUCAAUUUCCUUUCCAGCACCAUGAAAGCCGCUCUUUGAUAAAUAUUGUAAUUAAAAAACCUAACAGUC
This is a non-coding RNA of Phalacrocorax carbo (great cormorant), 4167 nucleotides long. The record is from RefSeq and is a predicted model, not a curated record. NCBI's taxonomy places the organism in Eukaryota, Metazoa, Chordata, Aves, Suliformes, Phalacrocoracidae.